RNAcentral lists this ribosomal RNA (490 nucleotides) under uncultured bacterium. Its description in RNAcentral is "partial 16S ribosomal RNA". It matches the Rfam family "Bacterial small subunit ribosomal RNA", at positions 30 to 507 of the family's 1533-position model. The record is from RNAcentral.
AUUGAACGCUGGCGGCAGGCCUAACACAUGCAAGUCGAACGGUAACAGGAAGCAGCUUGCUGCUUCGCUGACGAGUGGCGGACGGGUGAGUAAUGUCUGGGAAGCUGCCUGAUGGAGGGGGAUAACUACUGGAAACGGUAGCUAAUACCGCACAAUGUCGCAAGACCAAAGAGGGGGACCUUCGGGCCUCUUGCCAUCGGAUGUGCCCAGAUGGGAUUAGCUUGUUGGUGGGGUAACGGCUCACCAAGGCGACGAUCCCUAGCUGGUCUGAGAGGAUGACCAGCCACACUGGAACUGAGACACGGUCCAGACUCCUACGGGAGGCAGCAGUGGGGAAUAUUGGACAAUGGGCGCAAGCCUGAUGCAGCCAUGCCGCGUGUAUGAAGAAGGCCUUCGGGUUGUAAAGUACUUUCAGCGGGGAGGAAGGGAGUAAAGUUAAUACCUUGGCUCAUUGACGUUACCCGCAGAAGAAGCACCGGCUAACUCCGUG